RNAcentral lists this transfer RNA (71 nucleotides) under Anguilla anguilla (European eel). It matches the Rfam family "tRNA". From Rfam's summary of the family: Transfer RNA (tRNA) molecules are approximately 80 nucleotides in length. The record is from Rfam by way of RNAcentral. Lineage: Eukaryota; Metazoa; Chordata; Actinopteri; Anguilliformes; Anguillidae.
GCAUUGGUGGCCCAGUGGUAGAGCCCCCGCCUGCCACGUAGGCGGCCCGGGUUCGCAUCCCGGGCAAUGCC